AGUCGUGCGCGAAAGCUCCCUUCGGGGAGUGAGUAGAGCGGCGCAAGGGUGAGUAACACGUAACCAACGUACCCUCGAGAUCGGAAUAACCAGUGGAAACGCUGGCUAAUGCCGAAUGGUCCCUGGAGAUGGCAUCUUCACCAGGGUAAACGGCCGUUUAGGCUGCUCGGGGAGCGGGUUGCGGGCUAUUAGCUUGUUGGUGGGGUAACGGCCUACCAAGGCGAUGAUGGUUAGCGGGUCUGAGAGGAUGAUCCGUCACACUGGGACUGAGACACUGCCCAGACUCCUACGGGAGGCUGCAGUCGAGAAUCUUCCGCAAUGGGCGAAAGCCUGACGGAGCGACACCGCGUGCAGGAUGAAGGCUCUCGGGUUGUAAACUGCUGUCACGCUAUAGGAAAGGGUGUAUGGAAACAUGCGCAUUGACUAAAGCGAGAGGAAGCACCGGCUAACUCCGUGCCAGCAGCCGCGGUAAUACGGAGGGUGCAAACGUUGUUCGGAAUCACUGGGCAUAAAGCGCACGUAGGCGGUCCAGUCAGUCAGGUGUGAAAGCCCCCGGCUCAACCGGGGAACUGCACUUGAUACUACUGGACUUGAGAGUGGAAGGGGUGAGCGGAACUCCAGGUGGAGCGGUGAAAUGCGUAGAUAUCUGGAGGAACACCGGUGGCGAAAGCGGCUCACUGGCCCACUUCUGACGCUGAGGUGCGAAAGCUAGGGUAGCGAACGGGAUUAGAUACCCCGGUAGUCCUAGCCGUAAACGAUGGGCACU
RNAcentral lists this ribosomal RNA (766 nucleotides) under uncultured marine bacterium. Its description in RNAcentral is "bacterial SSU rRNA". It matches the Rfam family "Bacterial small subunit ribosomal RNA", at positions 60 to 817 of the family's 1533-position model. The record is from RNAcentral.